This 696-nucleotide ribosomal RNA is filed under the name Streptomyces plicatus. RNAcentral's name for it is "bacterial SSU rRNA". It matches the Rfam family "Bacterial small subunit ribosomal RNA", at positions 209 to 914 of the family's 1533-position model. Lineage: Bacteria; Bacillati; Actinomycetota; Actinomycetes; Kitasatosporales; Streptomycetaceae. The record is from RNAcentral.
GCUCCGGCGGUGCAGGAUGAGCCCGCGGCCUAUCAGCUAGUUGGUGAGGUAACGGCUCACCAAGGCGACGACGGGUAGCCGGCCUGAGAGGGCGACCGGCCACACUGGGACUGAGACACGGCCCAGACUCCUACGGGAGGCAGCAGUGGGGAAUAUUGCACAAUGGGCGAAAGCCUGAUGCAGCGACGCCGCGUGAGGGAUGACGGCCUUCGGGUUGUAAACCUCUUUCAGCAGGGAAGAAGCGAAAGUGACGGUACCUGCAGAAGAAGCGCCGGCUAACUACGUGCCAGCAGCCGCGGUAAUACGUAGGGCGCAAGCGUUGUCCGGAAUUAUUGGGCGUAAAGAGCUCGUAGGCGGCUUGUCACGUCGGUUGUGAAAGCCCGGGGCUUAACCCCGGGUCUGCAGUCGAUACGGGCAGGCUAGAGUUCGGUAGGGGAGAUCGGAAUUCCUGGUGUAGCGGUGAGAUGCGCAGAUAUCAGGAGGGACACCGGUGGCGAAGGCGGAUCUCUGGGCCGAUACUGACGCUGAGGAGCGAAAGCGUGGGGAGCGAACAGGAUUAGAUACCCUGGUAGUCCACGCCGUAAACGGUGGGCACUAGGUGUGGGCAACAUUCCACGUUGUCCGUGCCGCAGCUAACGCAUUAAGUGCCCCGCCUGGGGGAGUACGGCCGCAAGGCUAAAACUCAAAGGAAUUGAC